ACGUAAGCUAAAUUGAUAUUCUAAUUAAACGACACUUAAAUAUGUGUUUUUUUAAUUAGUACAAAUUUAAGAUUACAACUUUUUAAAUGAUUUUUAAUUAAUAUAUAGGAGAUAUUAAAUAUUAAAUAUUAAACCGUAAGAAUAUUUUAAGAAUGUCAGGCGUAACAUUUUUUCUGUCAUCUGGUGUUAUUACUACUAUAUGAGGUAAAAGGUUACAAUAUUUGGAAUACUAAAAUGGCUACUAAAACCGUUAUCGAAACCGGUUAAGUACCACUGUCUACAGCUCAAAUAGAGAGACUAUGCCCUAGAGAAAGGAAACCC
RNAcentral lists this long non-coding RNA (321 nucleotides) under Brassica napus (rape). RNAcentral's name for it is "long non-coding RNA (BNAP_LNC008337)". The record is from RNAcentral. Lineage: Eukaryota; Viridiplantae; Streptophyta; Magnoliopsida; Brassicales; Brassicaceae.